UCUCCAUCCCUAACCUGCAACAGGAAGAUAACAAGUGGCAUGUAUCUUCACUGGCAGGACAUUAAAAAACAAACAAACUUCAAAACUGGGGGAGGUGAGACUAUUUUUGCAUAUAAAAUAAGACCAGAAUUAGGAAGAGCAUUACAUAAUAAAAAUAAACGAGUUCUGAUGUUUGGGGAGAGGACUUUUUUUCUUGCUACUUUGAUGCCAUUUUUCGACCUCGUGGUGGGCAGAAGUGACAGCUACCCAUAAGAAAUAAUGGGAAACUCCAGGAUUAUUUAUUAUGGAGCCCCAUCGCGCCCAUUGAGAUCAUCGGAGAGGUUCCUCUGCAGUUGCCACCAGCUUAUCUCAGCGGCGAUACUUCCCUUUUGCUGCUCCGUGACUCUGGAAUGCGCUCCUUGGUGAAAUAAGAACCUCCUCAUCUAUCAGGCAGCAGCGAUAUAGGAAGGUGCUGAAAGGCAUAACCUCAUAGUGCGCGGGAGAUGGCAAUGGUAAACUCCGCCAGGCAAUGGUGGAAAAGCAGCUGGGUGUGUGAUUUUGACAGGAAAAUGAACAAGAACUCCUGAGCUGACAUUGACCUUCCUCCUGGGCAGAGCUCUAGAGACACUAUCACCACCACACCCGGUGCUCUUUUUCUCUCUCCUUUCUAAACAGAUUUUGUGAAAACAAUGUCAUUCUGGUUUAAUCUGACUCUUUAUUCCCCCAAGCCAUUUUAUUUAUGUGUUUAUUAGACUGUGAGCUUCUUGGAGACAGGAAUAUUAACAUUUAAAAACAAAAUGUUCUAAGCAGAACUAAUGUUUUGUACACCACUCUGGGCUCCUUGGAGAUAGAGCGGGAUAUAAAUGUAGUAAAUAAAAUAAAAAAAUAAUGGAGCAUCACACUGUUUUCCAUAUGAUGGAUCAUAAGAUUCACUCCUUGAAGGUGUUGUGGAAAUGAUCACCACUUAUGGCCAGUUUGGAUCCAAUUUAACUGUAAGAUUUAAUUAUAUUUUUGAAUGAAUGAAUGAAUACAUUAAAUUAAAUAAUUCUC
This is a long non-coding RNA of Hemicordylus capensis (graceful crag lizard), 1029 nucleotides long. RefSeq lists it as uncharacterized. Lineage: Eukaryota; Metazoa; Chordata; Lepidosauria; Squamata; Cordylidae. The transcript has 2 exons. The record is from RefSeq and is a predicted model, not a curated record.